RNAcentral lists this ribosomal RNA (1346 nucleotides) under uncultured bacterium. Its description in RNAcentral is "partial 16S ribosomal RNA". It matches the Rfam family "Bacterial small subunit ribosomal RNA", at positions 28 to 1381 of the family's 1533-position model. The record is from RNAcentral.
GACGAACGCUGGCGGCGUGCUUAACACAUGCAAGUCGAACGGAAAGGCCCUGCUUUUGUGGGGUGCUCGAGUGGCGAACGGGUGAGUAACACGUGAGUAACCUGCCCUUGACUUUGGGUUAACUUCAGGAAACUGGGGCUAAUACCGGAUAGGAGCUCCUGCUGCAUGGUGGGGGUUGGAAAGUUUCGGCGGUUGGGGAUGGACUCGCGGCUUAUCAGCUUGUUGGUGGGGUAGUGGCUUACCAAGGCUUUGACGGGUAGCCGGCCUGAGAGGGUGACCGGCCACAUUGGGACUGAGAUACGGCCCAGACUCCUACGGGAGGCAGCAGUGGGGAAUAUUGCACAAUGGGCGGAAGCCUGAUGCAGCAACGCCGCGUGCGGGAUGACGGCCUUCGGGUUGUAAACCGCUUUCGCCUGUGACGAAGCGUGAGUGACGGUAAUGGGUAAAGAAGCACCGGCUAACUACGUGCCAGCAGCCGCGGUGAUACGUAGGGUGCGAGCGUUGUCCGGAUUUAUUGGGCGUAAAGGGCUCGUAGGUGGUUGAUCGCGUCGGAAGUGUAAUCUUGGGGCUUAACCCUGAGCGUGCUUUCGAUACGGGUUGACUUGAGGAAGGUAGGGGAGAAUGGAAUUCCUGGUGGAGCGGUGGAAUGCGCAGAUAUCAGGAGGAACACCAGUGGCGAAGGCGGUUCUCUGGGCCUUUCCUGACGCUGAGGAGCGAAAGCGUGGGGAGCGAACAGGCUUAGAUACCCUGGUAGUCCACGCUGUAAACGGUGGGUACUAGGUGUGGGGUCCAUUCCACGGGUUCCGUGCCGUAGCUAACGCUUUAAGUACCCCGCCUGGGGAGUACGGCCGCAAGGCUAAAACUCAAAGGAAUUGACGGGGCCCCGCACAAGCGGCGGAGCAUGCGGAUUAAUUCGAUGCAACGCGUAGAACCUUACCUGGGUUUGACAUGGAUCGGGAGUGCUCAGAGAUGGGUGUGCCUCUUUUGGGGUCGGUUCACAGGUGGUGCAUGGCUGUCGUCAGCUCGUGUCGUGAGAUGUUGGGUUAAGUCCCGCAACGAGCGCAACCCUUGUUCACUGUUGCCAGCACGUUAUGGUGGGGACUCAGUGGAGACCGCCGGGGUCAACUCGGAGGAAGGUGGGGAUGACGUCAAGUCAUCAUGCCCCUUAUGUCCAGGGCUUCACGCAUGCUACAAUGGCUGGUACAGAGAGUGGCGAGCCUGUGAGGGUGAGCGAAUCUCGGAAAGCCGGUCUCAGUUCGGAUUGGGGUCUGCAACUCGACCUCAUGAAGUCGGAGUCGCUAGUAAUCGCAGAUCAGCAACGCUGCGGUGAAUACGUUCCCGGGGCU